GCAGCCGGGCGUUUCGUCGCGGACCGACAUGUGAGCGGUCUGAGGAAAGUCCGGGCAACAUAGAGCGCUUCACUUCCUUAGGGAAGACUCCGGUGACGUUGUAGUAUCGUGGAAGAAAAUAACCGCCCGCUAUGUGCGGGUAAGGGUGAGAAGGUGGAGUAAGAGCCCACCGGGCGCUAUGGCGACAUAGUGUGCCGCACGACUUGAAGGUUGCAAUGCCAAGUAUACCGGCAGUAUGUAGGGUUGCUCGCCCGAUGCCGGGGGGUAGGCAGCGAAGAUAAAUGACGGAACUCCAGGAGCGUCUGCGCCACGUGCGGAUAGUCAUCUUGGUGACAUAACCCGGCUUAUAGCCCGACUGCAACC
RNAcentral lists this RNase P RNA (363 nucleotides) under Paramuribaculum sp. RNAcentral describes it as "RNase P RNA component class A". It matches the Rfam family "Bacterial RNase P class A". From Rfam's summary of the family: Ribonuclease P (RNase P) is a ubiquitous endoribonuclease, found in archaea, bacteria and eukarya as well as chloroplasts and mitochondria. Its best characterised activity is the generation of mature 5'-ends of tRNAs by cleaving the 5'-leader elements of precursor-tRNAs. Lineage: Bacteria; Pseudomonadati; Bacteroidota; Bacteroidia; Bacteroidales; Muribaculaceae. The record is from RNAcentral.